Molecule: long non-coding RNA, 1068 nt
Organism: Myiozetetes cayanensis
Lineage: Eukaryota; Metazoa; Chordata; Aves; Passeriformes; Tyrannidae
Exons: 7
Source: RefSeq, a predicted model, not a curated record
AUACAUCUGUAUGAACGCUCAGCGUCUAUCACGAUGAACUAUUAUGUAAGUAGGGGUUUUUUUCUUGGUAAGAACAUUGCAGCUGCUUGUUAAUAAUUUGUGGCAGAAUUUACAGACAAGUUUACAAGUCAUCCUAUGUGCAAUCGGCUGUGUGCUUAUUACAUCGUCUGCCUUCACUCCUGCUGACUAUAAUGGGAAAUUAACAGAGCAUCCUUUCUCAAGGUUUAAAAACAUCCAGAAGAUUAAAAAUAGCCUGAGGCUUAAAAACUUCUUCACCUGGAUCGCUUUCAGGGAAGGUACCAGGAACAUCACUCCGUGUUCUCAAACUCUUGCUGAAAUGAAUGGGUAUUGACAACUUUCAGUCCUGUAGAGGAGAAGCUUAAUUCCAGGGGUCACAGGGCUACAGGAUUCUACCAACCAAAGGAAAAGAUAUACAAAUACAAAGAACACAAGACUUGUCAGAUGCUGACUACAUUAAAAAAUGUACUAAAGAAAUAGGGAGGUCUGCUCCUGGAGAUGUAAAUAAUAUUUGAAAUGGUGAUCUUCCUGAGAAACAAUUUAUGUUCUCAUUGGAACAGUGGACCAAAACAUAUAAAACUCCUUAGGUGGUUUCAAGAAUCUACUACAAGACCUCUACUUUGGCAUUCAACUGCACCUGCACAGAGGGUGCUCUUCCAUCUUCCACAGAAAAACUCUGAUCUCUCCCAGUUGCAGAAGAAACUAAGAUAAAGAAGCCUGUGUCUAUUGUCUGAGAGAGUAGAGAGAUGGCCUGGCAUGUGUCUUUGUCAAGAGCCAACCCAGAAACUACAUGAAACAUGAGUAGAACAAAGGGUAGUGGAGACAUGUGGAUAUGGUGUCAAUAGAAAACAAAGUUGGGACGCGGCAGCUGCAUCCUGCAGUAGUAUUACGAAAGGAAGUAUUAAAACUUUCUGUUUAGUAAUUCCUGCUGCUACAUCUCUGGUACUUAGCAGUGAUGAUGUUUCUGUAUGUAAUAUGUUUUCUGUACUAGGCAUAUGUAAUUUAAUCAUAUGAUUAGCUCAGUUGGUUAGAAUAUGGUGCUAAUAACAC